Molecule: ribosomal RNA, 253 nt
Filed under: uncultured bacterium
Lineage: Bacteria
Description: partial 16S ribosomal RNA
Rfam family: Bacterial small subunit ribosomal RNA
Source: RNAcentral
UACGGGGGGGGCAAGUGUUGUUCGGAAUUACUGGGCGUAAAGGGUUCGUAGGUGGCUUGCUAAGUCAGACGUGAAAUCCCUCAGCUUAACUGGGGAACUGCGUCUGAUACUGGCGAGCUUGAGUGCAGGAGAGGAACGCGGAAUUCCAGGUGUAGCGGUGAAAUGCGUAGAUAUCUGGAGGAACACCGGUGGCGAAGGCGGCGUUCUGGACUGCAACUGACACUGAUGAACGAAAGCCAGGGGAGCAAACGGG